This 9937-nucleotide long non-coding RNA is filed under the name Marmota monax (woodchuck). The record is from RNAcentral. Lineage: Eukaryota; Metazoa; Chordata; Mammalia; Rodentia; Sciuridae.
AUCACUUUAUACCUUAACUGGACACGCAGCCCAUCUGUAUGUAGUGGUUUUAAUGCAAUGCCCAAGUGAUUUGGAACCAAGUAGCUGUUUCUCAGGUCCUAUAAGAAUUGACUCUACAGAAAUACAAAUCUUGUAGUUGAUAUGGUACUGUUAUCCAGGUACAGAUUCUCUAAAUCUUGUGAUUAGCAGAAUGGGGCUUGUGAUGAAAAUUGCUUGGUUUUAGGAUAAUUAUUGAAUUGAAGAGAAUGACUAGGCUUUUCCUCUAAACUAGAAAUGUUAGUACCUUACCAGCUAAUGAAAUGUGUGAAGAAAACAUGUUGGUAAGUAUGGUAAUUUCCUAUAAAAAUUUUUAAUUAUAUUUGGAUGGGAAUCACUUCAGUUGGGUGAUAUUGUCGAUUUCUUUAGAUUAGAAAUAGAUGAGAAUAGGAUUUUCAUAACAAACUUAAAAAGCUGCUUGUAUUCUAAGAACAAAGGCCUGUUGAGAAGACUUUUCUAAAAAAAUGAAUGAAUGUUCUGGACUGGGGUUGUAACUAAGCAGCAGAGUGCUUACCUAGCAUGCAAGAGGUCUUGUAUUUGAUCCCUGGCACUGCAAAACAAAGUUUUAAAUGAAUGUUGCAAGCACUCUGUACUAAGGGCUUGCAGCAGUUUGCUUUUGCAACUGAAUAGAUGUGCUUAUAUCUUAGGUUGAGAGUUUUAAGCAAAUGAUUUUUUUUUUUACAUUGGAUAAUAUUUUGUUUUCUAAAUAGAUAAAAACAUAAAAAUUGUACUUAUUAAUGGGGUACCAUGUACUAUUUCAGUACAUGUGUACAUUAUGGGAUGUUUAAAUUGGUUUUACUCUUGAUUCAUAGUCCUAGAUGUAGAUCACCUAUAAAAACUUACAGUAUAUAAUUUUAUAUAAGAAUAUAAUAGUUCAUAUAAGGUCUGUUAUGAUUUUGGGCCCAUUUUAAUGCACCUUUGUCAGUUUCAUUGAAGUACUUACAGAAUUGAAAACUUGGGAUUUAAUGGAUCAAGCAUAUCUGUCUCAAGCAUUCAUCAUGUCUUUAUGGUGAAAACUUUCAAAAACCUUUCUUGUAGAUUUUUUAUAUGGGUGGUGUGUUAUUGUUACCCAUAGUCUCCCUGUUGUGCAGUAGCACAUUAGAACUCUUUCCUCCUAUCUUGUUCUUAGUGUCAGCCUUUCCUCAUCCCUCCCCGCCCCUAUAUAAAUGAAAAAAUCCCCUGCCCCUCCAAACUGCAUAUUAAAAUUAACUUAAUAGGAAAGGGAUAGGUAUUUCUGUGGUUCUCAAUCUUGAUGCCUGUGGAGAGUCCUGAUUUAAAUUUUUUGGAGGAGUGCCCAGGUGAAUCUAAAUUAUAUUUAGUGUUAAGCACCCACUGAUUUUUCCCAACUACAAAUUUAAGAGAACUGGAUUGUAUUGUAAAUGAGUGGUAGUGGUUUACAGGUUUUCAUAAAUAACUGAAAUAGACUAUAUAACUCAAUUUGUUUUAGUAGUGACUUUUACUUGUCUGGUAUAAGUCUUCCCUUUAAAUCAUAAAAGUUUCCCUGAAAUGGGCCUACAGUUUCAUAAGACUAUCUUUUUAGAUGAGUCUCUUCCCAUAAACUUGUUUUUCGCUAAAGCCUUAACUGUUCUCACACAUUCCUUGAUUGUUUCUUAUCUUUCUAAAUUUUUUUUAGAUAUUUUCCUUCACAAUUUCACCUGUACUCUAGUAAAUAAUUUUUAUCAAGAUUGUAGAUUUAUUUGGGCAUUCCUGAUGAUCUCUAUUUCAAUUAUAGUUUGAGGGUUUUUAAAAAAUAUUCUUGAGUUGUACAUGGACAUAACUUAUUUAUUUAUUUAUUUAUCUGGUGCUGGGGAUUGAACCCAGUGCCUCACGUGUGUGAGGCAAAGCUCUACCGCUGAGCUACAACCCUAGCCCUAGUGUGAGCUUUUAUGUCUUAGAGCUAUAAGUACAUUUAUUUCUGCUUUUUUUUUUUGUAUAUAUUUAAUUAAUUGCACAAGUGUUGCUGUCUAGACAAAAAUGGUAUGUUGCUAUAGCACUGUUGGCUUGCAACUGUUGCUAUCCUGGAAAAUAGGUUAAAAUUUAUCAGUUGUAAUAUAAAUUGGAAAGAAGGAAAAUGUGGGUUACAUUAAAAAUUGAACAUAAAAAGUGGGGAUGUAGCUCAGUGGCAGAGCACUUAGCAUGCUCAGGGCCCUAGGUUCAAUCCCCACCUCGCACCUUUAAAAAAAAAAAGGUGGCUCAUACAGAGAUUCAUGACAAGUGUGGAAUAGGCACAGAUCCCAGUUCACUUUUGCCAUCUAUCAUGUCUAGACCAGAAUUCCUUACUCUGAGAGGUAGAAGAGGAAAUAAUCGCUUGUGAUACAAUGCUGGAAAAAGGCCACACUUGUUUUUAAUGACAAUUGCAAACUUGUGACUAAAAUUAAAAAGUAGUUGGGCUGGGGAUGUGGCUCAAGCGGUAGCACACUCACCUGGUGUGCGUGGGGCGCUAGGUUCGAUCCUCAGCACCACAUAAAAAUAAAGAUGUUAUGUCCACCGAAAACUAAAAAAUAAAUAUUUAAAAAAAAUUCUCUCUCUAAAAAAAAAAGUAGUUUGUAACCUUAGGCUUGGCAGAAGAAGCUGGGCUAGUAAUAGUUUUCUCUGCCGUGUUGCUAAUGCAGCAGACCACUGUGGCUUGUUUUACUGCUGAAUCUUUUCUGGAUUGCCUCAGCCAUGGUGUACGAUCUCAAGCGUACAGAGUGCUAUUGGUGGGAAAGACUUCUUUUGGGGGGGUGAUACUGGGGAUUGAACCCAGAGGCACUUAACCGCUGAGCAACAUUCCCAGUCCUUUUUUAUAUUUUCUUAGAGAUAGGGUCUCACUGAGUUGCUGAGGCUAGGUUUGAACUCAGGAUCCUCCUGCCUCAGCCUCCCAAGUGGCUGGGAUUACAGGUGCAUGCCACCACGCCUGGCUGGGAAAUACUUUUUAAUAGAUACUACUGUACAUCUUCAAAGAGAUGAAUGAUUAGGUCUUUGUUUUGUUUCCCUUUCACUGAGGAGGAUACUGCCUAGUAGAUCUUAGUGCAGUGAUAGGCUGCAGCCACCAGCAAAUGACCUUCCCAUUAGUGGAAGUCAGGGUCCAGAAUUGUGAUAAAAAAGGAAAUUAGAGUAUUCCUUGCUCUGUUUAACAUUAGGAAGACCAAAGUGAAAGGUCUAAUUAAAGCUACUGUUAAUGCUCAAGACUGUUGAGUGCCUUUACCUGGUGACUGAUCUGUGAGGAGACUCAGUGGUCUGAUUUUGUUCAAGCUUGUGCAGGGAUUCCAGAACUACUACAAUGUGAUAGUGUAACUGGGGGGCUAGUUUAGUGAUAAGAUUUUGUAGUCCUAGUUAAGUAUGAGCCUUGGUCAAGUAAGUCUCAGGAAAAAAACUAAAGUAUGGUAAAAUAUACCAGAAUUACAAUCUGUAGGCUAUUCCAGCCUUUCCAGCAUCAGUAAAGGUGUUGGAUAUGUGUUGAAUGCUGCAGUCAUAGGGAGAAGCUGUUUAAUAUAUUUGGUCUUAAGCAUUUAUUUUCUUUGUCUCCUGGAAACACAGAUUUCUUUUUUCUUUUCUUUUUGGCACGGGAGAUUGAGCGGGAAGUACUGGAUAUUCAAUUUUGAGAUGGCAGAAAUAAUCUAAUAUUUAGAUACUCAUGUCUAGCAAUGAAUAUUUCCCAUGUGCAAGUCUUCAUAUGGAUUAUUUUAUUGACUUGGGUCAACACCGUUUAGAAAAACAGGGAAGUUUCUAAUGUUGACAUUCUGAUCUGUGUCCCUAACUUGCAGAAAGUAUCAAUACUGUUUUUUUGCUGGAAUUUUUUUUUAGUAUGGUUUGAAGGAUGGGCAGGACCCUACACAGCUUUUGGGUUGAGAUAGUGACCUGGGUUUUUGACUGACAACUGCUUCAUGAAGCCAAGUAAAUGACAGUCCCUUUGGGAAGCAUGGUGAGGAGUGACUUUUUUGAGUGUUGACCUAAGUCACAUAUCUUCUGUUCUCAGUUCAUGCAGUGACCUGUCUCAGGGCCAUUUAUUUGAACCAGAUUUUUAAAAAGUAGUUGACUGAGGCUGAUCCAGAAAAUGACUCAGACCACAACCUCUUGCUCCUGAAGAUAAUCGAAUGUGCACAGAGAAUUCACCAAAUAUAUUAGAAAGGGAGAUUCAUGGUUUUCUUAAAGAAAUACAUGUGGAGUGGGGCACUCCAUCUUCAACUUCUAAGAGUACAUAGGUAUGAAAUAAUUCCUCUUUUUUCCACCUAAAUGGUCAAUUGUUUGGGGACUGUUUUUGUAGUUGAAGAAAUGACUUAAAUUUUUCAGUCUCUGUAUAGGACCUUGGGAACUAGUCAACUGUUCAGAAUGGGAAGGAUAGUAAUGAAGGAAGUCUCUUGCUCACUGUUUGUCACCUGACCAUCUCACCUACUCUAUUGAAGCCAGAAACCAAGAGCAGAUUACUUUGUCUGAUGUCCAGUUCAUGGAAGAUGACUUCACAAAAACUGCCCAUCUCUCUGAUCUGUAGAUGUGCUCUUGUUUUAAAAAUCUUUUCCGUUUUCAUUAUGUAUUUGUAAAAUCAAGCAGUAGAGCUGUAUGCAAAAAAAUAUAUAUAUAUUUAAUAUUUUUACAAGUAUCAAUGUGUUGGUGGAAGUAUACUGGGUCCCUGAAGUGGUUACAUGUUCAGCAAGGAAGUAAGUUGUAAGUUAAUUCACCAGUUUGUGUGUGACCACAGGUGAUCGUAUCUCCAAUAUAGGGUGACCAGUUGUCCUGGUUUUCCUUGGAGCUAGGGAUUUAAGCAGAGCUUUCAAUUCUCAAACCAGGAUGGUUGGUCACCAUAAAAUGGGGUCUUGUACAAGCAUAGAAAGUGUUUCCCACUCUCACCAGCUUAGCAGAAUUCCGGUUCUGCUUUGGCUGUCAGUGGGAUCCUGGUGGAGUGGAAGUGUUGAUUGAAUUAAUUUACUCAGUCCUGACUUCUAAAGAUCCAUCUGUUGUUUAACUUGAUGUCUUUCCAUUAAUUUUGUGAUUCUGGAACUUCCUGAUUCCUGACAUUCCAAGCCUUGUUCUGUAUGCUUUAAAGUCUGGAUGCAAAGUUCCGAAAUCUUUGGUUUAAAGGGUCUAUCAGAGGUAGGAAUAAAUUGACAGAAAUAGAAAAAUAGGGAGGAGGUAAACAAGAAUGGUGUGUUGAGGGUAAGGGGUAUGAGACUAGCAAACAAAAAUAAAGCUUAGUUCUCUCAGCCAGGAGUAAGGAGCCACUGCUCCCUGGGGAGCACAGUAAGUGAGUCAGGAAGAUGUUACCAUGGUGUUUGAGUAACAUCCAUGGAGUAGUAAGCCGUGACCAGGCACCAGCUGAGCUGAGUGGUUUGGUGGCAUGCAAAGAUACUUUGAAUUGGACAAAUGACUGGACAGCCUUGAAGGGCCAUUUUUACUUCAUUGCAUCAUAGGACCAUGGCCUUUUGUCAAUUAAUUUCCUUGCAAAGGAAAUGGGGAUUUGGUCCCAGGUAUGCUGUGUGGGUCAUUGUAGCUUUGAGAUUUCUUCAUCAGCUGCUUUCUGUUACAAGUCUUAAAAUAUAACCGCCUUUAAUAGGACCAACAGAAAGAAAUGGGUUCAAGCAUUCAUCCAGCAACUACUUCAUGAGCACUUGGUUGUAUGCCAGGUGUUACCCCGCACUGAAAAUAUGUGUGUAAGACAGUGUCCUUGUGAUGUUUUUAUUCAUGAAAGAUAGAUACAAAAAUGAGAUGGGAAUAAUGUGCUUAUAAGGCAAAAGGACAGGAAGCAAGAAAGUAAAAAAUUCAGAAGUGUAGUGUGUAGGACAGCAAUGAUCAUGACCUGAUAACAUCUCUAGAAUCUGCCUUCAGCUGCUGGGGGCAAGAAUUCUGAAGCACUGUUAAGGAAACCUGGUGGAUGGGAGCCUUUUGUAGUAUUCUGACCAGAGCAUUUUGCCUACAUGUGAGCAGCAGGACAUAGCCUAGAGAAAUUGAUAAAACCAUACAGGUGCCAAAGGGCUCAUAGUUACUGCCAGACAAUCCCAAUGUCUCAUACUUCUUGGAUCCUUUCUCAGGCUUCCAAAGGACUGAUUCACAGUCCUCUCAAGUUACCAAUACCUCCCCUCCACACCAGACCUUGAUGACUUCAAAGUACUUCAAAGCUCAAUCAGACAAAUGUUCUUUGUUCCUGCCAUCACAGGCACUAGUCUUGCAACUGUAUCUCUAACCUUGACCACCUCAAUUGGACUAUUCACAUGAGCAUACAAACAUGGCUCUCUGUUCAGUCUUAAAAACAGGCUCCUUUGACCUCACAGUCCCUCCCUUAAGUGCCUGCUCCUCUUCUACAUUCCUCUGAGCAACACUAGAAAGAUUACAUUUUUCCCUGAUUUCUCAUACCACAUUCUUAGCAUACCACUGAAAUAAAGAUUUAGCAAGGUGAUUUUCACAUUGCCGAGUAUACUAUUUUUCUGAUUUUAAAUUCCAGUGUUUGAUAUUUGAAAUAAUCAAUCUCAGCCUAUUGGCUAGAAUCAAAUAAAAUGAUUGACCAAAGUAGUUUUCUGGAGAUAAUUUCUUCUUUGUUUACUUUUUUUUUUUUUUUAAAUAGUGGGGAUUAAACUCGACCUAAUGUAUGCUAUGCAAGUACUCUGCUACUGAGCUACCCAUCCUGCUAGUCUCUUAACCAUGUGAUGUUGUCCAGUCCCAUCCAUUUGCCAGAAAGUCCCAAAUUUUUAUUUAUUUUUAUGCCAGGGAUUGAACCCAGGGGCGCUUAAACACUGACAGAGUCUUGUUAGAUUGCUAAGGCUGGCUUUGCACUUGUGAUCCUCCUGCCUCAGCCUCCUCAGUUUCUGGGAUUGUAGUUGUGCACCACCAUACCUGGCUGAAAAGCCCUAAUAUAUGUUCUUAUGCCCGUGUCUCCCAUAGCUUGCAGAGUUUCAUAUCCAUCUGCCUACUUAAUGUGACUCAAAUCUAACUAGCAUCUCAAACUAAGUUCCUGAUCUCUCACACUCCUAAGGUUUUCUUUCUUUUUUUAAAGUUUUUUAAUAGUUGUAGAUGAACACAAUAUCUUAUUUUUAUUUUUUAUGUGGUGCUGAGGAUCGAACCCAGUGCCUCACACAUGCUAUAACCCAGGCCUCCUGGAGUUUUCUUAUCUCAGUAAAUUGUUCAUGCAGUUUUCAUUAACACCUGUUUCAUCCAUGUGUAGUCCUAUAAUCAUACCUCCAAAUACAUCCUUCUCAUCUCCAUUGCCCCUACCCUCAUCCAGGCUUCCUAAAAGUUUUUGCUACAUUUCUUCCCCUUCCCCCCAGUUGUAGCCCAUUCUCUGCAUAAUCAAGAGUAUUCUUUUGAAACUAGAACUGAUCUUGCCUCAUGCUGCUUACCCUCAUCCCCUGAGGCUGCUUAAUGCAAAUGGAAUAAAAUCAAACUUGCUCCUGAUGUCCUAUAAAACUCUAUUUGCUUCUCUACCAUCAUCUUUUCAUUCUCUCUCCCAUUCAUUAAGCUCUAAUGAUAUUGGCCUUGCUGUUCCUGGAACACACCAAACUCAUUCUUAAGAGCCUUUAUACACACCCUUUAAUGUGUCUCAUAUCUCUUGGGGGUUCCUUACACAUUUCUGCUUUGAUGUAUUCCUCUCCCCACACUUUCUAAACCAGUUUUCUUGAUAGUAUUUAUCCACCUAACAUUCUCUUGUUUUUGCUUAUUACAUCUCACACAUUAGAAGGUAAGCUCCCUGGGGUCAGAAGUAUUUCUUACCACUGUUUACAGUGGUGAUGGGGGGUGGGGGACAGGGAAGAAGGUGCUAAACACUGAUUGACAUAGUGCAUACUGGUACUUGUGGGCUUGGACUUGAGGUUCCCCUGGAGAAAUCACUGCCACUCAGUAGUUCUCUGGCAGUCAGGCCUCACUGACACUCAGCAGUCACAGGUUGACACUUGGCUUGUAGUACAUACUCAGGUCACAUGACUUCACCUCACUGAUAUUUGCCCCCAUCUGGCUCCUGGGAUGCACUUCUGGAGCUCACAGAUAGGUGGUUGGCUGGCAAACUUUGUGAGAUUGUCUUCUGUUGAUCUUUACCCCCAAUGUCCUUGCCCCUUGUGACACACAUAACUGGUAAAUCAUGCAUGCCAUUGUUUUCUCAUCUGUGAAGGAGCCCUUGCUGCACUGCCCUGCCCUGUUCCUGACUCAGCCUGGCCUACUGCUGCCAGGACUUACUUUGUACUCCCCAUUUCACAGAGGGACAACUGUGGCCCAAAGGCCUGGAGGCUGGUUCCCAGGUCACACUGUGAGCAUGAGAUGAAGCUGCACUGAUAUUCAGCCACUGGUGACCAGGCCAGGGGCCUGGACAAGACUCUGUCCUGCAGAGGAGAGGCAGCCUCUGAAGUCAGCCCAGAGAGUGCCCAGAUGGAAGAGGGCAGGCUUAGGAAAGAGGCACUUUUUGGACAGCCAUCUGGAUCUCUGGCACCACCUGCUGAUUAGAGCCAGUCAGUGCUGGUAGUUCUUGGUUAUCCAGGACCAGACCUUAAGAUUCAUAUCCUUGUUCCUGUCUUUAUUUGAACCCAGCAUGGCUACUCUGAGCACCCAUAGUCUCCCCUCUGAUGAGGGGUGGAGCACAGCCUUCUCAGAAGGCCAUUGUCUUCUGAGAAGCUCUGACCUACCUGAGUUAGCCAGACCUAGGUUCAAAUUCCAUCUCCCCAAAUUACUGAGGUAUGUCCUGGAGCAGAUUAUAUAACCCUUCCCAGCCUUGCAAUUUCUCCUGUAAAAUGGAUGUAGUAAUAGUAACUACCUCCUAGAGUUGCCCUAGCAGGACCAAGCUCAUAGGUACACUGAUUUGAGCAGUGUUGCUUCUUAGUCCCUGCCUCAGGUAGGCCCACUUUAGUUUGACAAAACCCCUUAAUCAAGUCUGGGUCCCAAGGGAACCUGACUUCUGAUAGUGUGGAUAGUGUGGGGUACAAACAUGGAUCAAGAAGUUUUCUGGGGGCUGGGGACAUGGCUCAAGUAGUAGCACGCUCACCUUGCAUGCAUGAGGCACUGGGUUCUAUCCUCAGCACCACAUAAAGAUAAAAUAAAGAUAUUGUGUCCACCUAAAGCUAAAAAAUAAUUUUAAAAGUUUUCUAUACCAGUUAAGUGCAUAAAACAACUUCUACAUAGAGCUUCCACAGCAACUUUCUGAUGGCAGGUCCACAGGCCUGGUUACCUCCAGUUGAGGCAAGGAGGCAGACAAAUGUUUCUUUCUGUAGCUUUGUCCAAGAUCCAAAGUUGUACUCGAGCUAUGGGAAAAUAAGUCCUCUCUGUGUGCAGGGACCUUGUAGAAAUUCUCUGUUCUUCCCUCCCAACAUCUCCCAUUGCUCCUCUGACCUUGGCUGUGAAUGGUUGGGCAGCCAUGUGAAAGAGGCUACAGGAGCUCAAGUUUCCUUCAGGAAUUGACAUUGGAGUCAGUUCCAUGCAACAUCUCAUUGUCACUUUUUCCUCAUUUUUUGAGUUAUAAUGUGCAUGCAGUAAAGUACACACAUAAUUGUAGCUUAGUUAAUUUUUAUAUAUGCAUAAUGUGUGAAACUACCACCUAUAUCAAGAUAGAAAGUGUCUAGCAUCCCAGAGACUUCAUCCAUCAGUAUCUGCCACCUGCUAGAGGUAACACCUAUUGUCUCCCCUCUCCUUAGUUUUUGCCUCUUUUUUUGGUCUUUAAAUGGAUUUGUAUAAUAACACUCCUGUAUCUAGCUGCUUUUGUUCAAUAUUGUGAGAUUAAUCCAUGUUAUUGAUAUCAGUUUAUUUUUCACUACUGUUUAGAAUUCCAUUAUAUGAAUAUACUAUAAAUUACUUGUUUUUAUGGCUGAUGUAUUUGUUAUUUCUAGUUUUUUACUCCUAUGAAUAAAGCUGCCACAAUGGUUUGGAUGUAGUUUUGGUGUAUCCCCUAAGGCUUUGUGUCCUGGAAGCCUGUUCCUUGGUGUGGUGAUAUUGACUUUAUGUGUGUGUGUGUGGG